ACAGUCCUAGGGUGUACGCCAGUCGACACGUCCUUGAGCCGAUAACUGUGUACCAGGCAGUGCUUUGUGGAUCUUGUUGAGCAUUACCGCACGUCGGGAAGCCUGAUAGACCACUGGCACCGCCACCUUGAACCAUUGGGUUCAAGGCCCGCUCGACAGCGGCACCCCGGGGCGCUC
RNAcentral lists this non-coding RNA (177 nucleotides) under Marinimicrobium hydrolyticum. Its description in RNAcentral is "Marinimicrobium sp. ABcell2 6S RNA". It matches the Rfam family "6S / SsrS RNA". From Rfam's summary of the family: E. coli 6S RNA was the first non coding RNA to be sequenced, but its function was unknown until recently. It consists of 184 nucleotides that fold into an extended hairpin structure with a large single-stranded internal bulge. The record is from RNAcentral. Lineage: Bacteria; Pseudomonadati; Pseudomonadota; Gammaproteobacteria; Cellvibrionales; Cellvibrionaceae.